This 1491-nucleotide ribosomal RNA is filed under the name metagenome. RNAcentral describes it as "bacterial LSU rRNA". It matches the Rfam family "Bacterial large subunit ribosomal RNA", at positions 1277 to 2895 of the family's 2925-position model. The record is from RNAcentral.
UUUGAUCAGAAGCGAGAAUGUUGACAUGAGUAGCGAUAAAGAGGGUGAGAGACCCUCUCGCCGAAAGUCCAAGGGUUCCUGCUUAAAGCUAAUCUGAGCAGGGUAAGCCGACCCCUAAGGCGAGGCCGAAAGGCGUAGUCGAUGGGAACCAGGUUAAUAUUCCUGGGCCAUGUGGUGGUGACGGAUCUUUAGUGUAGUUCGACCUUAUCGGAUUGGUCGGGCUGCUGCGAGGUCCCUGGAAAUAGCCCCACUUUAAGAUCGUACCCGAAACCGACACAGGUGGACUGGUAGAGUAUACCAAGGCGCUUGAGAGAACCACGUUUAAGGAACUCGGCAAAAUGCCUCCGUAAGUUCGCGAGAAGGAGGCCCCAUUGGUACGCAAGUAUCGGUGGGGGGCACAAACUAGGGGGUGGCGACUGUUUACUUAAAACACAGGGCUGUGCGAAGCCGUAAGGCGACGUAUACAGUCUGACGCCUGCCCGGUGCUGGAAGGUUAAAAGGAGGGGUGCAAGCUCCGAAUUGAAGCCCCAGUAAACGGCGGCCGUAACUAUAACGGUCCUAAGGUAGCGAAAUUCCUUGUCGGGUAAGUUCCGACCUGCACGAAUGGCGUAACGAUCUCCCCGCUGUCUCAAACGUGGACUCAGCGAAAUUGAACUGUGUGUCAAGAUGCACACUACCCGCGGUUAGACGGAAAGACCCCAUGAACCUUUACUCUAGCUUUGCACUGGCAUCAGGAUUGUGAUGUGCAGGAUAGGUGGUGGGCUUUGAAGCGGUGACGCCAGUUGCCGUGGAGCCUCCCUUGAGAUACCACCCUUCGCACUCUUGAUGUCUAACCGCGGCCCGUUAUCCGGGUCCGGGACCCUGCAUGGUGGGGAGUUUGACUGGGGCGGUCGCCUCCCAAAUCGUAACGGAGGCGCGCGAAGGUUGGCUCAGACCGGUCGGAAAUCGGUCGUUGAGUGCAAUGGCAGAAGCCAGCCUGACUGCAAGUCUGACAAGACGAGCAGAGACGAAAGUCGGCCAUAGUGAUCCGGUGGUCCCAAGUGGGAGGGCCAUCGCUCAACGGAUAAAAGGUACUCUGGGGAUAACAGGCUGAUGAUGCCCAAGAGUCCAUAUCGACGGCAUCGUUUGGCACCUCGAUGUCGGCUCAUCUCAUCCUGGGGCUGGAGCAGGUCCCAAGGGUAUGGCUGUUCGCCAUUUAAAGAGGUACGUGAGCUGGGUUUAGAACGUCGUGAGACAGUUCGGUCCCUAUCUGCCGUGGGUGUAGGAUACUUGAUGGGAGUUGCCCCUAGUACGAGAGGACCGGGGUGAACGAUCCACUGGUGGACCAGUUAUCGUGCCAACGGUAGUGCUGGGUAGCUAUGAUCGGACAGGAUAAACGCUGAAGGCAUCUAAGCGUGAAGCCCCCCCAGAAACUAGGUAUCCCUUGAGGGCCGUGGAAGACGACCACGUCGAUAGGCCGGAGAUGUAAGCGCGGUAACGCGUUCAGUUGAC